GCCCUCGCUUCGGUAGCACAUAUACUAAAAUUGGAACAACACGGAGAAGAUUAGCAUGGCCUCUGCACAAGGCUGACAUGCAAAUUUGUGGUAUUCCAUACUUUUUU
This is a small nuclear RNA of Hippopotamus amphibius kiboko, 107 nucleotides long. Lineage: Eukaryota; Metazoa; Chordata; Mammalia; Artiodactyla; Hippopotamidae. The record is from RefSeq and is a predicted model, not a curated record.